UACGAAGGGGGCUAGCGUUGCUCGGAAUUACUGGGCGUAAAGCGCGUGUAGGCGGGUCUUUAAGUCAGGGGUGAAAUGCCAAGGCUCAACCUUGGAACUGCCUUUGAUACUGGAGACCUUGAGUCCGGGAGAGGUGAGUGGAAUUGCGAGUGUAGAGGUGAAAUUCGUAGAUAUUCGCAAGAACACCAGUGGCGAAGGCGGCUCACUGGCCCGGAACUGACGCUGAGGAGCGAAAGCAUGGGGAGCGAACAGG
This 253-nucleotide ribosomal RNA is filed under the name uncultured bacterium. Its description in RNAcentral is "partial 16S ribosomal RNA". It matches the Rfam family "Bacterial small subunit ribosomal RNA", at positions 524 to 776 of the family's 1533-position model. The record is from RNAcentral.